This 497-nucleotide ribosomal RNA is filed under the name uncultured bacterium. Its description in RNAcentral is "partial 16S ribosomal RNA". It matches the Rfam family "Bacterial small subunit ribosomal RNA", at positions 28 to 507 of the family's 1533-position model. The record is from RNAcentral.
GAUGAACGCUGGCGGCGUGCCUAAUACAUGCAAGUCGAGCGAACGGACGAGAAGCUUGCUUCUCUGAUGUUAGCGGCGGACGGGUGAGUAACACGUGGAUAACCUACCUAUAAGUCUGGGAUAACUUCGGGAAACCGGAGCUAAUACCGGAUGAUAUUUUGAACCGCAUGGUUCAAAAGUGAAAUACGGUCUUGCUGUCACUUAUAGAUGGAUCCGCGCUGCAUUAGCUAGUUGGUAAGUUAACGGCUUACCAAGGCAACGAUGCAUAGCCGACCUGAGAGGGUGAUCGGCCACACUGGAACUGAGACACGGUCCAGACUCCUACGGGAGGCAGCAGUAGGGAAUCUUCCGCAAUGGGCGAAAGCCUGACGGAGCAACGCCGCGUGAGUGAUGAAGGUCUUCGGAUCGUAAAACUCUGUUAUUAGGGAAGAACAUAUGUGUAAGUAACUGUGCACAUCUUGACGGUACCUAAUCAGAAAGCCACGGCUAACUACGUG